RNAcentral lists this transfer RNA (64 nucleotides) under Hydatigera parva. RNAcentral's name for it is "tRNA-Met". The record is from RNAcentral. Lineage: Eukaryota; Metazoa; Platyhelminthes; Cestoda; Cyclophyllidea; Taeniidae.
AAACCGAUAAGUUAAUGAAACUGUGGGGUUCAUGUCUCCAUAUUACACAUUUGUGUUUGGUUGA